This 497-nucleotide ribosomal RNA is filed under the name uncultured bacterium. RNAcentral describes it as "partial 16S ribosomal RNA". It matches the Rfam family "Bacterial small subunit ribosomal RNA", at positions 28 to 507 of the family's 1533-position model. The record is from RNAcentral.
GAUGAACGCUGGCGGCGUGCCUAAUACAUGCAAGUCGAGCGAACAGACGAGGAGCUUGCUCCUCUGACGUUAGCGGCGGACGGGUGAGUAACACGUGGAUAACCUACCUAUAAGACUGGGAUAACUUCGGGAAACCGGAGCUAAUACCGGAUAAUAUAUUGAACCGCAUGGUUCAAUAGUGAAAGACGGUUUUGCUGUCACUUAUCGAUGGAUCCGCGCCGCAUUAGCUAGUUGGUAAGGUAACGGCUUACCAAGGCAACGAUGCGUAGCCGACCUGAGAGGGUGAUCGGCCACACUGGAACUGAGACACGGUCCAGACUCCUACGGGAGGCAGCAGUAGGGAAUCUUCCGCAAUGGGCGAAAGCUUGACGGAGCAACGCCGCGUGAGUGAUGAAGGUCUUCGGAUCGUAAAACUCUGUUAUUAGGGAAGAACAAAUGUGCAAGUAACUAUGCACGUCUUGACGGUACCUAAUCAGAAAGCCACGGCUAACUACGUG